AAAUCUGACCCAGCAAUUAUGACUCCACAGUAGGCUCAGCCUCAUCUCUACAGCACAUCCCCAGGCACCAGGUGCAGGAGGAUCCUAGAGUGUCCCUCGCUGGUUAAAGAUCCCCCCUUUCAAGUAAUGUGGCAAAAAGGAGCGACGUAAGGCUCAGAAACAGGAUGUGACCCACGGGAUCUGGAAGUCAUGGGGCUGCAGUGUGAGUCCAGAUACACAAGCAUUUCUAAUCCUGCUCUACAAGACACCUCCCUUCCUUAACUGUAUCAUCUAUACAAAUGAGGUGCCACUGAUGGCUUCCAAGUUUCCACAGGCUGGCCACUAAAACGCAGACUUCGUCCCUCUGAAGGUAAGUCCAGUAAGAAAGAUACGAUUUGCACACACCCAAAAGAAAUUUUUGCCACAUAGCUGAAUUGGGUGGGAAGUAAGUGCCUUUAUACUAACCUUUGCUGGGAGCCAUCAGUCCUCCUCAUGCUGAGCAGGCUCUGCCCAGAGCCUGGAGGCACUGAAGAGCAAGCAAGAUGGGCAGUGAGUACUGCUGGUUGCCUGUGAAAGGGGAUGGCAGGUGCAGCUCUGCUGACUCCCUCGGAGGCCCUGCCAUUGCUUGUAGCUCAGGCAGGGCAGCUUCCUACC
Molecule: long non-coding RNA, 633 nt
Filed under: Heterocephalus glaber (naked mole-rat)
Lineage: Eukaryota; Metazoa; Chordata; Mammalia; Rodentia; Bathyergidae
Description: lncRNA (ENSHGLG00000034960.1)
Source: RNAcentral